CACCAGCGCCACAAGUGGGGAUCAGUAUUAUUGGGCCUAAAGCGUUCGUAGCCGGCCAGGUAAAUUUUUUGUGAAAUUGUUAGGCUUAACCUAACAGCGCGCAGAAAACACUGCUUGGCUUGAGACCGGGAGGAGUAAGAGGUAUUCGAUGGGUAGCGGUAAAAUGCAAUAAUCCCUCGAGGACCACCAGUGGCGAAGGCGUCUUACCAGAACGGGUCUGACGGUUAGGAACGAAAGCUAGGGGAGCGAACCGG
Molecule: ribosomal RNA, 254 nt
Filed under: uncultured bacterium
Lineage: Bacteria
Description: partial 16S ribosomal RNA
Rfam family: Archaeal small subunit ribosomal RNA
Source: RNAcentral